This 111-nucleotide ribosomal RNA is filed under the name Bacillus amyloliquefaciens. RNAcentral also lists the same sequence under 3 other names. Lineage: Bacteria; Bacillati; Bacillota; Bacilli; Caryophanales; Bacillaceae. The record is from RNAcentral.
UGGUGGCGAUAGCGAAGAGGUCACACCCGUUCCCAUGCCGAACACGGAAGUUAAGCUCUUCAGCGCCGAUGGUAGUCGGGGGUUUCCCCCUGUGAGAGUAGGACGCCGCCA